This 440-nucleotide ribosomal RNA is filed under the name uncultured bacterium. RNAcentral describes it as "partial 16S ribosomal RNA". It matches the Rfam family "Bacterial small subunit ribosomal RNA", at positions 338 to 795 of the family's 1533-position model. The record is from RNAcentral.
CCUACGGGUGGCAGCAGUGGGGAAUAUUGCACAAUGGGGGAAACCCUGAUGCAGCGACGCCGCGUGAGUGAAGAAGUAUUUCGGUAUGUAAAGCUCUAUCAGCAGGGGAGAAAAUGACGUUACCUGAUUAAGAAUCCACGGCUAACUACGUGCCAGCCGCCGCGGUACUACGUAGGGGGCAAGCGUUAUCCGGAUUUACUGGGUGUAAAUGGGACGUAGACGGGAGCACAAGUCUGGUGUGAAAUGCCGGGGCUUAACCCCGGAACUGCUGUGGAAACUGUGGAGCUAGAGUGCAGGAGAGGUAAGUGGAAUUCGUGGUGUAGCGGUGAAAUGCGUAGAUAUUAGGAGGAACACCAGUGGCGAAGGCGGCUUACUGGACUGUAACUGACGUUGAGGCUCGAAAGCGUGGGGAGCAAACAGGAUUAGAUACCCCUGUAGUC